AUUGAACGCUGGCGGCAGGCCUAACACAUGCAAGUCGAGCGGAGCGGCGGACGGGUGAGUAAUGCCUAGGAAUCUGCCUGGUGGUGGGGGAUAACGUCCGGAAACGGGCGCUAAUACCGCAUACUAUCAGAUGAGCCUAGGUCGGAUUAGCUAGUUGGUGGGGUAAAGGCCUACCAAGGCGACGCUCCGUAACUGGUCUUAGAGGAUGAUCAGUCAACCUGGAACUGGGACACGGUCCCGACUCCUACGGGAGGCAGGAGUUGGGAAUAUUGGCCAAUGGGCGAAAGCCUUAUCCAGCCAUGCCGCGUGUGUGAAGAAGGUCUUCGGAUUGGAAAGCUCUUUAAGUUGGGAGGCGUUACCAACAGAAUAAGCACCGGCUAACUUCGUGCCAGCCGCCGCGGUAAUAC
RNAcentral lists this ribosomal RNA (407 nucleotides) under uncultured bacterium. RNAcentral's name for it is "partial 16S ribosomal RNA". It matches the Rfam family "Bacterial small subunit ribosomal RNA", at positions 30 to 526 of the family's 1533-position model. The record is from RNAcentral.